CCACUCUCGGGGUUGCACCUGGAGAGUUUCUAGUACUCUACCAGUCUCGGCUAUGGGAGAUAGAGUCAUGCAGAGGUAUACCUAUUCCAUUCCUAGCCUGACCAGUGGCUACCGAGUGGAAGGCAAUCUGCUGCAAGU
Molecule: small nucleolar RNA, 138 nt
Organism: Ornithorhynchus anatinus (platypus)
Lineage: Eukaryota; Metazoa; Chordata; Mammalia; Monotremata; Ornithorhynchidae
Source: RefSeq, a predicted model, not a curated record